Molecule: long non-coding RNA, 329 nt
Filed under: Amborella trichopoda
Lineage: Eukaryota; Viridiplantae; Streptophyta; Magnoliopsida; Amborellales; Amborellaceae
Description: long non-coding RNA (ATRI_LNC001828)
Source: RNAcentral
AGAUAUUUUCUUUCUCUUUUACCCUAGUUUUUAGAGAGAGAACUCCUCCCUGAUAGCGGAGAGGGAGAGAUGAUCGUGCAGGGACGACGGGGGAGAUUUAUCUUGGUUUUUUCUUCCCUUGGUAGAGAGAGAACUCUAGCUCCUAAUUUUUUUAAUGAAAGAGAACUACUCGUGUAGAGAGAGAGUUUUUUAAUAGACUAGGACAGAGUUCUUGAGGAUCACCGUUAAAAUGCUUGCAUGUAGGUUAACCGGUAAAGCUCCAUCUUUUUCUUGAGAUUAGAAUCACGAUUUAAUGGUGAUCCUUUGGGGUCUAAUGCCAUUGGGCGUGG